UAACGAAUAUUCCGCAAUGCGCGAAAGCGUGACGGAGCAAUGCCGCGUGCAGGAUGAAGCCCUUCGGGGUGUAAACUGCUGUCAGGGUAUAGGAAGCAAGUGACCAUACCCAAAGGAAGGGCCGGCUAACUUCGUGCCAGCAGCCGCGGUAAUACGAAGGGCCCGAGCGUUAAUCGGAAUCACUGGGCUUAAAGGGUGCGCAGGCGGGCGCGCAGGCAUCUUGUGAAAUCCCCCGGCUCAACCGGGGAAAUGCAGGGUGAACCGCGUGUCUUGAGGCAAGUAGGGGCUGUCGGAACGCUAGGUGGAGUGGUGAAAUGCGUUGAUAUCUAGCGGAACGCCGAAGGAGAAAUCAGGCAGCUGGGCUUGUUCUGACGCUGAGGCACGAAAGCGUGGGGAGCGAACGGGAUUAGAUACCCCUGUAGUCC
RNAcentral lists this ribosomal RNA (425 nucleotides) under uncultured prokaryote. RNAcentral's name for it is "bacterial SSU rRNA". It matches the Rfam family "Bacterial small subunit ribosomal RNA", at positions 355 to 796 of the family's 1533-position model. The record is from RNAcentral.